This 1196-nucleotide long non-coding RNA is filed under the name Parus major (Great Tit). Its description in RNAcentral is "lncRNA (ENSPMJG00000001711.1)". Lineage: Eukaryota; Metazoa; Chordata; Aves; Passeriformes; Paridae. The record is from RNAcentral.
GAAAAGGAAGAUACUGGUUGAAGUAUCUCAUCUAUGUAUGCUUGCCUUGACAGAUCGAUGAGACCAAAUUGUUUGAGGAUUUCUUGUUAAUGCUAAAAGGGAAGGGAAUCUGUUCUUUAAGAAUCUCAAGCAACUACAGGGAAGGUGUGAAAACAGAUUUGUUUGUGCAGGUGAGUCCUGAGAAGGAUAUCAAACAUUAAAUCUAGAGAUGAACACAAAGCUGUGUAAGUAGGGCACGUGUAAAUAUAUUCUAGGAGAGGGUUAGAAGUCAUCUACCAUGAUACUAUAUUGGGACAAGGGGAUGGACAAUAUAAGAUCCUCUCAGCAUUUCUGAUAGCUGUGCAUUCAAUCAUGGUAUCUCUCAUAACUGAAUGCCUAAAACAUGUUCAUCUUCACAGGAACCUCCCUUGGCUAGGGAAUUCCUGUGUUACCUACUGGAAAGUAAAUCACAGUAUGUUACCACAUGAGGCAAUCCCAGUCCUAAACUCUGAGAUUCCUUCCUCUUUCUAAGAGGGAACACUGUAUUGUGAAAAAAGCAUUCAAACGUGAGCUGGUCAUAGUAUGAAUGCUACAAAGCAUUUCAACUAUGCUUAAAGACCAUCUCAAUUAGAAAAGACUGGAGUUAGAAUUCGUAGCAGUGGCAUUAUUUUAUUCUGCAUGUCUCCUAUAGAAAACCAUGUCCCAGUUCCCUCUGCUGUCUGCACCAUUUGACCUGUUCUUCUAAAUCCAACUGCCAUCACCUGGCCAAGAAAGCAGCAGAGAAGCCCAAGAACCUGCCUGCCACUUUCGGGUGGUCAAGGCCUCCAUCCAAGGAAAAUUCCAGGGGUGAGCCUUAGAGAGUAACCGAAAGCAGCAGCUGCUCAUUGACUGGGAGCUGGAUGAAAAUCCCUGCAGUCAGUCAACAGGCUGCCCCAGCUGGUCUGGCCUCACAGAGACAAGACCUCCAGAGCUGUCUGGGUGUGACCACAAUGAAUGGAGAAGGAAUGGUUUCUUCACCUGAAGAUUCAUCAUCUAAUCUAGCUUUGAUGACUUGCCACUGGAGGAGGAUAUACUUUGCUGUAUCAUCUUAUAUUUAUAAAAUGAUAGGUCCUGUGUUGGAGUGGCCCCUAGCUUGGGUUGGGACAUUCUCCUUUCACUUCUAACUUCAACUCAGAAAAUGGGCAAAAGUCUGGAUAAUAAACUUGUCAUCACAAACA